Molecule: unclassified non-coding RNA, 332 nt
Filed under: soil metagenome
Description: partial contains 5.8S ribosomal RNA, internal transcribed spacer 2, and large subunit ribosomal RNA
Rfam family: 5.8S ribosomal RNA (bases 1-120)
Source: RNAcentral
GAUGAAGAACGCAGCGAAAUGCGAUAAGUAGUGUGAAUUGCAGAAUUCAGUGAAUCAUCGAAUCUUUGAACGCACAUUGCGUCCUUUGGUAUUCCUUAGGGCAUGCCUGUUCGAGCGUCAUUUAAACCUUCAAGCUAAGCUUGGUGUUGGGUGACUGUCCGCUUCACGGCGGACUCGCCUCAAAAUUAUUGGCGGCCGGUACAUUGGCUUCGAGCGCAGCAGAAACGCGAACUCGGGCCCGUCGUAUUGGCUCCCAGAAGCUAUCUUCACAAUUUUGACCUCGGAUCAGGUAGGGAUACCCGCUGAACUUAAGCAUAUCAAUAAGCGGAGGA